AUGAACGCUAGCGGCAGGCUUAACACAUGCAAGUCGAGGGGUAUAGUAGCAAUACUAGAGACCGGCGCACGGGUGCGUAACGCGUAUGCAAUCUACCUUUCACAGAGGGAUAGCCCAGAGAAAUUUGGAUUAAUACCUCAUAGUAUUAUAGUAUGGCAUCAUAUUAUAAUUAAAGUCACAACGGUGAAAGAUGAGCAUGCGUCCCAUUAGCUAGUUGGUAUGGUAACGGCAUACCAAGGCAACGAUGGGUAGGGGUCCUGAGAGGGAGAUCCCCCACACUGGUACUGAGACACGGACCAGACUCCUACGGGAGGCAGCAGUGAGGAAUAUUGGACAAUGGGCGCAAGCCUGAUCCAGCCAUGCCGCGUGCAGGAUGACGGUCCUAUGGAUUGUAAACUGCUUUUGUACAGGAAGAAACACUCCGACGUGUCGGAGCUUGACGGUACUGUAAGAAUAAGGAUCGGCUAACUCCGU
RNAcentral lists this ribosomal RNA (474 nucleotides) under uncultured bacterium. Its description in RNAcentral is "bacterial SSU rRNA". It matches the Rfam family "Bacterial small subunit ribosomal RNA", at positions 29 to 506 of the family's 1533-position model. The record is from RNAcentral.